GAUGAACGCUGGCGGCGUGCCUAAUACAUGCAAGUCGAGCGAACGGACGAGAAGCUUGCUUUUCUGAUGUUAGCGGCGGACGGGUGAGUAACACGUGGAUAACCUCCCUAUAAGACUGGGAUAACUUCGGGAAACCGGAGCUAAUACCGGAUAAUAUUUUGAACCGCAUGGUUCAAAAGUGAAAGACGGUCUUGCUGUCACUUAUAGAUGGAUCCGCGCUGCAUUAGCUAGUUGGUAAGGUAACGGCUUACCAAGGCAACGAUGCAUAGCCGACCUGAGAGGGUGAUCGGCCACACUGGAACUGAGACACGGUCCAGACUCCUACGGGAGGCAGCAGUAGGGAAUCUUCCGCAAUGGGCGAAAGCCUGACGGAGCAACGCCGCGUGAGUGAUGAAGGUCUUCGGAUCGUAAAACUCUGUUAUUAGGGAAGAACAGAUGUGUAAGUAACUGUGCACAUCUUGACGGUACCUAAUCAGAAAGCCACGGCUAACUACGUG
RNAcentral lists this ribosomal RNA (497 nucleotides) under uncultured bacterium. RNAcentral describes it as "partial 16S ribosomal RNA". It matches the Rfam family "Bacterial small subunit ribosomal RNA", at positions 28 to 507 of the family's 1533-position model. The record is from RNAcentral.